GAGUUUGAUCGUGGCUCAGGAUGAACGCUGGCGGCGUGCCUAAUACAUGCAAGUCGAGCGAACAGACGAGGAGCUUGCUCCUCUGACGUUAGCGGCGGACGGGUGAGUAACACGUGGAUAACCUACCUAUAAGACUGGGAUAACUUCGGGAAACCGGAGCUAAUACCGAAUAAUAUAUUGAACCGCAUGGUUCAAUAGUGAAAAACGGUUUUGCUGUCACUUAUAGAUGGAUCCGCGCCGCAUUAGCUAGUUGGUAGGGUAACGGCUUACCAAGGCGACGAUGCGUAGCCGACCUGAGAGGGUGAUCGGCCACACUGGAACUGAGACACGGUCCAGACUCCUACGGGAGGCAGCAGUAGGGAAUCUUCCGCAAUGGGCGAAGCCUGACGGAGCAACGCCGCGUGAGUGAUGAAGGUCUUCGGAUCGUAAAACUCUGUUAUUAGGGAAGAACAAAUGUGUAAGUAACUAUGCACGUCUUGACGGUACCUAAUCAGAAAGCCACGGCUAACUACGUGCCA
Molecule: ribosomal RNA, 518 nt
Filed under: uncultured microorganism
Description: bacterial SSU rRNA
Rfam family: Bacterial small subunit ribosomal RNA
Source: RNAcentral